This 853-nucleotide ribosomal RNA is filed under the name uncultured bacterium. RNAcentral describes it as "bacterial SSU rRNA". It matches the Rfam family "Bacterial small subunit ribosomal RNA", at positions 41 to 896 of the family's 1533-position model. The record is from RNAcentral.
GCGAGGUUAACACAUGCAGUCGAGGGGCAGCAUGGAGUAGCAAUACUCUGAUGGCGACCGGCAGACGGGUGAGUAACGCGUAUGUAACCUACCCUGUACUGGGGGAUAACCCGGAGAAAUUCGGACUAAUACCCCAUGGAAAUAUUGAGAGGCAUCUUGAGAUAUUUAAAGUUUCGGCGGUACUGGAUGGGCAUGCGUGACAUUAGCUAGUUGGUAGGGUAACGGCCUACCAAGGCAUCGAUGUCUAGGGGUCCUGAGAGGGUGAUCCCCCACACUGGUACUGAGACACGGACCAGACUCCUACGGGAGGCAGCAGUGAGGAAUAUUGGUCAAUGGGCGCAAGCCUGAACCAGCCAUCCCGCGUGAAGGAAGAAGGCGCUAUGCGUCGUAAACUUCUUUUCCGGAGGAAUAAAAUUUCGUACGAGUACGGGACUGGAGGUACUCCGGGAAUAAGCAUCGGCUAACUCCGUGCCAGCAGCCGCGGUAAUACGGAGGAUGCGAGCGUUAUCCGGAUUUAUUGGGUUUAAAGGGUGCGUAGGCGGAUUAAUAAGUCAGUGGUGAAAACCUUCAGCUUAACUGGAGACUUGCCAUUGAUACUGUUAGUCUUGAGUAUGGUUAAGGUAGGCGGAAUGUGUAAUGUAGCGGUGAAAUGCUUAGAUAUUACACAGAACACCAAUUGCGAAGGCAGCUUACUGAGCCAUAACUGACGCUGAUGCACGAAAGCGUGGGGAGCGAACAGGAUUAGAUACCCUGGUAGUCCACGCAGUAACGAUGAUCACUCGCUGUUGGCGAUACACAGUCAGCGCUAAGCAAAAGCAUUAAGUGAUCCACUGGGGAGUACGGCCGCAGGCUG